CGGAAUUACUGGGCGUAAAGGGCGCGUAGGCGGCCCUCUAAGUCAGACGUGAAAUCCCUCGGCUCAACCGGGGAACUGCGUCUGAUACUGGAGGGCUUGAAUCCGGGAGAGGGAUGUGGAAUUCCAGGUGUAGCGGUGAAAUGCGUAGAUAUCUGGAGGAACACCGGUGGCGAAGGCGGCAUCCUGGACCGGUAUUGACGCUGAGGCGCGAAAGCUAGGGGAGCAAACGGG
Molecule: ribosomal RNA, 231 nt
Filed under: uncultured bacterium
Lineage: Bacteria
Description: partial 16S ribosomal RNA
Rfam family: Bacterial small subunit ribosomal RNA
Source: RNAcentral